This 72-nucleotide transfer RNA is filed under the name Bos taurus (domestic cattle). It matches the Rfam family "tRNA". From Rfam's summary of the family: Transfer RNA (tRNA) molecules are approximately 80 nucleotides in length. The record is from Rfam by way of RNAcentral. RNAcentral also lists the same sequence under 4 other names. Lineage: Eukaryota; Metazoa; Chordata; Mammalia; Artiodactyla; Bovidae.
UCCCUGGUGGCUCAGAGGUUAAAGCAUCUGCCUGCAAUGCAGGAGACCUGGGUUCGAUCCAUGGGUCGGGAA